RNAcentral lists this ribosomal RNA (497 nucleotides) under uncultured bacterium. RNAcentral's name for it is "partial 16S ribosomal RNA". It matches the Rfam family "Bacterial small subunit ribosomal RNA", at positions 28 to 507 of the family's 1533-position model. The record is from RNAcentral.
GAUGAACGCUGGCGGCGUGCCUAAUACAUGCAAGUCGAGCGAACAGACGAGGAGCUUGCUCCUCUGACGUUAGCGGCGGACGGGUGAGUAACACGUGGAUAACCUACCUAUAAGACUGGGAUAACUUCGGGAAACCGGAGCUAAUACCGGAUAAUAUCUUGAACCGCAUGGUUCAAUAGUGAAAGACGGUUUUGCUGUCACUUAUAGAUGGAUCCGCGCCGCAUUAGCUAGUUGGUAAGGUAACGGCUUACCAAGGCGACGAUGCGUAGCCGACCUGAGAGGGUGAUCGGCCACACUGGAACUGAGACACGGUCCAGACUCCUACGGGAGGCAGCAGUAGGGAAUCUUCCGCAAUGGGCGAAAGCUUGACGGAGCAACGCCGCGUGAGUGAUGAAGGUCUUCGGAUCGUAAAACUCUGUUAUUAGGGAAGAACAAAUGUGUAAGUAACUAUGCACGUCUUGACGGUACCUAAUCAGAAAGCCACGGCUAACUACGUG